UGGAGCAGCAGGGGGCGUUUCUUCGCCUCGGUGACCGGGACCCGUCCUGCCGCUCGCAUGCACGUCCUGUUCCGGCAUCUCUGAGUCUCCAAGCGGACCCCGACGGCCGCAUGGGGCCGGCGGGCCCACCAUCGAGGACUGGCAGCGGUGGGCGGACGGGCUCCAGGAUGCCACACCGGUGCCGGUGCUGGCGGAGGCACCCGACCCUGAAGCCCAGGCGCCGGACCAACUGGCUAGGUACGCCAGGACUCUCUCCAACAACACUGGGCCGGACUUGCUGCCGGGGGAGCUGUUAAAAUAUGCCCCUCCUAGCCUCUCUCAGCUGUUGGCUGCGGUAAUCGGCCCAGCCUGAGAGGCGGGUGAGUUCCCCACGGAGUGGGUCACAUCGGUCCAGCAGCCCAUUCCCAAGGUGCCGCGUACGCUGGCGGAAUACCGCAGGCUCACCUUGUGGAACGUCAUCUACAAGCUGCUGGCCAAACACCUCCUGAUGCCCCUCUACGCGGUGCCCCCGCCCAUGCCUUGGUACCAGGCUGGGUUCCAGCCGCAGAGAGGGACCUACGACCAUAUCGUGCUGCUCAGGAAGGUGCGCUUGAGGGCGGGCGACACGGUCCACGUCUUGGGCCUGGACAUCAAGUCGGCGUUCCCGUCGACGGGAGCUGGCGGCGGUGCUGCUGGCCGACGGCGUCUCUCCGUUCCUGCUCAACGGCGUCACCGCGCUGGCGCUGACGGGCUUCACUUCCAUCAGGUGGUUCGCGGCCCGCACGGCACGGGGAAGCAGGGCUGCUCCCUCGCGCCGUUCCUCUUCACGCGCGCCCUCCACUGGGCCAUCAAGGCAGCGGUGCAGCACCUCCCCGGCUUCAGCCUUGACGUGGACUCCAUCGACUUCUCCCCGCUCCUCCUGGCCUAUGCUGAUGAUCUCCUGGUGGCGUCGAUCGACGUCGGGGUCGGGGACCUGCACGCGUUCCUGGACAGCUGCGCGGUGCCGGCGAUCGGGUUGGUCUAAAACUUCCAUAAGUGUGAAUACUUAAUCAAGACUCCGUUACCGCAGGAUUUCCGCCCCCUCCCGUGCCCCGCCCUCAUUGCCGGCAGGGCCGUUCCUCAAGUGGCCAAGCUCCUCUACCCGGGAGCCCUCAUCACGGCGAGCCUGGAUCGCCGCAGCACGGCGUACCAGCGCAUCACCACCACCAGGCGCUCGGUAACAGCGCUCCAGCCGCUGAUCUACCGGCACCCGCUCCCGUCCAAGGUCGUGGCGAGGAUCUGGACGUGCGCCUGCGCUAAGCUACGCCCACCACCACCACCCGCAGGUCUUGCUGCACACCUCUCCCUCUGCUGACCGCCGGCCAAGUGACCGAGACGCCGCGCGGCUCGCUCCGCCUCCACCUCUCUCUCUCGCUCAGCUGGUUCGGUCCGCGGCUCGGUUGUGUCAGAGCUGAACUGAACACCGACCAGGGCGAACUAUCAGCCUCACCUACCAUCUUUCUAUCCCCGGGUCUUGAAGGGUCUUGUACGUCUUGGACGUCUUUACCAUGACUGGUUUUACCUGAGUUUUGCAAUGCAAGUAAUUCUAUCGUAUCGUGCCGACAUGUCGCCCUCUGACCUCAAGCUCACCGCAUCGUUUCGUCCUGCUCUCGGAGUGUAUCGUUCUUGUAUACGUCUCGGUUUACACCUUUAGCUUUGGUUUACCGGUUUUUAUGUAUGUAUCGUUUGGCCGUGGUGCCGUUGUUCUGGACCUCCUGGAGUUAGGUUAUGAAGUGCCUUUUGAUUGUUUUUCUGUCAGCCAGUCUAAAUAAACUGUGAUAUUGUUAA
Frankliniella occidentalis (western flower thrips) is the source of this 1806-nucleotide long non-coding RNA. RefSeq lists it as uncharacterized. The record is from RefSeq and is a predicted model, not a curated record. NCBI's taxonomy places the organism in Eukaryota, Metazoa, Arthropoda, Insecta, Thysanoptera, Thripidae. The transcript is spliced from 2 exons.